CUGAGAGCUUUAGAAACAGACAUCCUCUGUAAAAGAACAAAACAGGUACAGCAUAUGUAGUGCCAGUGUAGGCUUCCACCACACUCCUCCAUCAAUAUGCUUCAAACAUGUUCUGAAGGGACCACAUUAUGCUUAAGGGGGAUUGUUCAUUCUCCUUGUCCCAUUCAGUCUCUGACUUGU
This 180-nucleotide small RNA is filed under the name Gopherus agassizii (Agassiz's desert tortoise). RNAcentral describes it as "TUC338 (ENSGAGG00000013308.1)". Lineage: Eukaryota; Metazoa; Chordata; Testudines; Testudinidae. The record is from RNAcentral.